GAUCCUGGCCCAGGAUGAACGCUAGCGGCAGGCCUAACACAUGCAAGUCGAGGGGCAUCGGGAUUGAAGCUUGCUUCAAUUGCCGGCGACCGGCGCACGGGUGCGUAACGCGUAUGUAACCUACCUAUGACAGGGGCAUAACACUGAGAAAUUGGUACUAAUUCCCCAUAAUAUUCGGAGAGGCAUCUCUCCGGGUUGAAAACUCCGGUGGUUAUAGAUGGACAUGCGUUGUAUUAGCUAGUUGG
RNAcentral lists this ribosomal RNA (245 nucleotides) under uncultured bacterium. Its description in RNAcentral is "partial 16S ribosomal RNA". It matches the Rfam family "Bacterial small subunit ribosomal RNA", at positions 15 to 252 of the family's 1533-position model. The record is from RNAcentral.